UUUAGUGCCCCUGUCGAAGGUCCCGUGGUCCCACACGGGCGCAAAAGGGAAUGCGGUGCGGGAGGUCUCUCCCAAUGCCGCGGCUGCCCCCGCAACUGUAAGCGGUGAGCCCCUGCCACAUGCCACUGUCGCCGCAAGGCGCCGGGAAGGCGGUGGGGGCGCUGAUCCGCGAGCCAGGAGACCUGCCUUCGACAAGGUCCGCGC
Molecule: non-coding RNA, 204 nt
Filed under: Xanthobacter autotrophicus
Lineage: Bacteria; Pseudomonadati; Pseudomonadota; Alphaproteobacteria; Hyphomicrobiales; Xanthobacteraceae
Also listed under: 1 other name
Source: RNAcentral